Molecule: small nuclear RNA, 57 nt
Filed under: Laticauda laticaudata (blue-ringed sea krait)
Lineage: Eukaryota; Metazoa; Chordata; Lepidosauria; Squamata; Elapidae
Also listed under: 1 other name
Source: RNAcentral
GGCAUUGGUGGUUGGCACUCCUGGAUUCCAGGAUGGGGUUCAAGUCCCUGCGAUGCC